Long non-coding RNA from Hordeum vulgare subsp. vulgare (domesticated barley), 1072 nucleotides. RefSeq lists it as uncharacterized. The transcript is spliced from 2 exons. NCBI's taxonomy places the organism in Eukaryota, Viridiplantae, Streptophyta, Magnoliopsida, Poales, Poaceae. The record is from RefSeq and is a predicted model, not a curated record.
CUAUUCUAAUUCCAACCGGCGCAAAGCGAUGGAGGUUACGGGCUUACGGCGGCGAGCGGUAGCUGCGUCACUGCGUGUGCACUCACCGUCGUGCAGCGUUGGCGCGGUCCGGCGGCGGCGUCGAGGCGGGCAGUGCUGCAGGAGGCUUCGUGGCUGGUGACGGCCUCCUCGGCCGGCGACCCCGCGGGAGGCUUCACGGCCUGGUGGUUGGCCUGCCCCUUGCGGGUGACCUCAACUGUGUUGAGCGCUGGGGAAUGGGGAUAGCUCGACAAGUUCGCCGAGGAGGCAUUUUUUACCUAUGCCACGGUGUGUUUCUCUCUCGUCCUGACUGACGGAGGUGGGUUUUCGGCCGCUCGGCGAUCUUGGUGUGCACAUAGGAGGGCUGUGUGUAGCGGUGACAGCCAACAGAAGAUGCAGCGGCUCGACCUCCUCUCCAGUUGAAAUCGUCAAGGCGGCCUCCCCUGAAUUCGCUCAGGCUGGAAUCAAUUGCGGCGUAACUCAGCACCACCAGUCGCCCCAACCUACAGAUCCUGUCAAUAUUCCUCGAGCUUCAGGCUAAGAUGUGCAGGGUAGCAGCACAAGAUCUAUUCGGUACCCCCUGAUUCUUCCAUCAGCUAGACCAGGCUCUUACCACCCAAGCUGCCCCGGAAGGAGGUUUGUCCAUCACCGGCUACAGGCUUGAUAAAAAUAAACGUUGAUGCCUCUUGUCAAGUAUCUUGACGAUUGCUCCAUUACGUGUAUUACCAGGGACAACAAAGGGGAGAUGUUUGUACUCUCUUAACCGGGAUUAAGUGCAAAGAUGUUUCUGAUGAUGAAGGCUGAGCUUGUCUUUUGGGGCUUAAGAGUUUGCAUGAUUUGUCAUGGAGUGCAAUAAUGCUAAUGUGGAGAAGCGAUCAAGAUAAUAAAUGUUGGUAUCUGUAGACUAUUGCGCCUGUUUGAAGAUAUAUGUGCACUUUAGGAUUGUUGUCUACUAUUUUUCUGGUAUUAAUAUUGGAAGAGACAGUAACAUAGCCGCACUAGCUGUUGUAACUAGGAUUUUAAAUCAGAAUGAUUUGUGGUUGAGGGUUGCAAA